UACGUAGGGUGCAAGCGUUGUCCGGAGUUACUGGGCGUAAAGCGCGCGCAGGCGGCUCGUCAAGCCUGACGUGAAAGCCCCCGGCUCAACCGGGGAGGGUCGUCGGGGACUGGCGAGCUUGAGGUCGGCAGGGGCUGGUGGAAUUCCCGGUGUAGUGGUGAAAUGCGUAGAGAUCGGGAGGAACACCCGUGGCGAAGGCGGCCAGCUGGGCCGUACCUGACGCUGAGGCGCGAAGGCGUGGGGAGCGAACGGG
Molecule: ribosomal RNA, 253 nt
Filed under: uncultured bacterium
Lineage: Bacteria
Description: partial 16S ribosomal RNA
Rfam family: Bacterial small subunit ribosomal RNA
Source: RNAcentral